CCUUAGCCAAAAAAAUAAGAGCACUCCUGCCCCAGUCCUCGCCGCCGGCGUCCAUGUCGUCGUUUCUCCACCGUCUCCCCCUCGUCCACACCCAAACCCCGACGCGGCGGAGGCGGCGCCAGAGCGCGAGACGGAGCGAGGCGAGUGGUCUCUCCACUCACCCACUCAGCUCUUGCGGCUCGCCUUUCCCCUCCCCUCCCCCGCGAGCCUGACGACCGGCUCAAAAUAGGAAAUGCGCUCGUCUCGGUCGGUCGGGCCGUCGGACCGCGUGGCCGCUGCACAUGACAAGCUGGAAGAAACAGGUACUGGAUGAGCAUCUCCUGGUUCAAGUUGCAGAAUCAAUGUCUUUGAUAUUGUCAGAAUCAGCCAUAUUCCAGAUUCUCCAUAUCAUUUAAAUUCUGGCUGCGAGCAGAAAUUUCACCCUUGAUGAUACAAAUGGGCAUUUGGAGAUAGGCGCUAUCACCUGGAGCUUGCAUUCAAGCUGUACCUGCAAGAAUACUACAUCCAGCUGCCUCGUCUCUCCACAUAAACAUCCAUAUCAGGUAAUCCGCAGCAUGAUGAAGAAUCCACGCAGAUUUUAUAUUUUCAGCUGGGAAUAAAAGGUGAGGACAACUGGCUGCUACAUUUUGUACCCUUUAAUUCCGCAUAAACUUCGGAAUAAGUGCUCCGUACUGUGCCAAAGCUUUUCUUUCACCUUUUCUAGUUAGCAUACAUGUCAACAUACGUGCAAGACAACAUUAGGCCUAUUAGUAUACAAAGAGCUUUGCAGAAGACAAGUUAUAUCUCGAAAAUUUCUACCCAAUCCCUUCAUACAAAGAAGGACCUUAAAGAAAGCAUGAUGUAUAAGGGUACCAUCAGUUUUGCAGAAAACAUAACUGUAUGUAGUACCAAGAGCUUGAGGAAAAAACAUUUAGGGAAACCGGCUAAGAGCAGGACCCUUAACCUAGUAUCUCUGUUAGUUAAGUGGUAUAAAUUAGAAUUUCUGAAGAAAUUUGUCGACCAAAGAGGGGGGCCACGGAUACCUUUGGCAUCAAGGAAGCUCUGCCCGUGGUACGAACCCGUUGUUGACAUUUGGAUAACUAGUCUGCACGUGUACUGAUACAAAAUUUCUUGGAGACAUGCUAAUGUACGGUGAGAUCACAACUAGCUUUUUUUAACGGAAUAUGCUCUAACAUAUCACAAUCUUGUUGGAAUAAAGGUACAGUGUUGCACAUCAGAUGGGCAUCUCCACCAGGACCUUGCUAGCAGAAAGGCAGAAGAUCAACUUUAAAUUGCUGAAAGUUCUCGCAUGACAAUCACAAGGGAAAGGCACCAAGGAAUUUCCCCGCACCGCAAACUACCUACACCUGACUUUCGUGGAUGAACUCUCGCCAUGCAUGCCAGGCCUCUCCGCUGCGGCGCUGCCUAUGGUCCCUAUGGUCCCUCUGAACUGUUUGAGGACCAGCUAGAAACAGCGCUAAAGUUCAUCUAAUCCAGGUCAGAGCUGAAUCUAUUCUAGUGGAGUGCAGUCUUAUCAUUUGGCAAUCCUGCAUCUACAAAUUGCUGAUACAGCUUGCAGCAUAUAUACUGUUCGUCAUGACGAGCUACAGUACCGGCAUGGCAGGCUGCAGUAGCAAAAUGGGCCAAGAACAGGAAAACAGAGUAAGUCAGUCCCAUAGUUGGCAAAGGGGUGGCGGCUUGCUGAUUGGUGGGUCCAGAGUCCAGAGACUGGGUCGGUAUGGAUUGCACUCUGUUAUGUAGAACGACAAUGACAAGUGGGCCUAAUAGUGGAGGAAUCAGAGUGAUGUACUUUAUGUUCUCGAGUAACAAAAAGUGACCGUUAUUCUCUCCAAUCGCUUAUCUCUUUUGCGUUCUCCCUUCCCCCUUUUUUCGUGCUGUGACGGCGAUCAUAUCUUAGGUGACGGGGACAUAACAUUGUUGCAGCAGCUUGUGCUGACUCCUGUGCAAGAUUUUCACCAUCUAAGAGCUUACAGCAAUCCCAGGUCAAUUAAUCCAGUGUGAAGACCAGAACAGUGUGAUAACACGCAGCAGCAAGAAUGGGUUGGUCAGAGCAAUUCAGGAAUCUGGUUAUCAAUACUGCUGUAUAUUUACUUAUCUUUCACCAGAGUAAAAAGGCAAGCCUAGCCGUUGAUUGGAUAUUUUGGAUGGAUCAGCGGUUCAGAGUGAAGGGAUUACUAUACACAUUCAUCUGCAGCUGUCAUAGAUGGAUGGGGUUCAAACAUGGACUCAGAUCUUCUUGACGGGUUUGAAUGAGGGAUGGGAUGAGAACAAGAGCUAAUUUGGACAAGAGGCCAACAUUUUCUACUAGCAUACACACCGCUAGCGUCCAUCUUAAUCCUAUUUCAGGGCCCUAGUUUUUGAAACUUCUGUGUAUCAUAUUUCAGGGCCCUGGUUUUUGAAACGCCUUAUAUUUUCUUGAAAUAGUGUUGCUAAAUCUCAGUCGACCGAGACUUGGUUAUGUCUCAAUCGAUGCUAUAUUCGUGAGAUAUUGCAUGGAGAUUCGUGCAAAAAUUUAAUUUUAGUUUUCCUUUUUCCUUAUAUGUUAUGUAUAGCCAUACAGUUUGUAAAAUGAACCCUGCUAUACAAACGAAAGUACAUA
Molecule: long non-coding RNA, 2599 nt
Organism: Triticum dicoccoides
Lineage: Eukaryota; Viridiplantae; Streptophyta; Magnoliopsida; Poales; Poaceae
Exons: 3
Source: RefSeq, a predicted model, not a curated record